Quercus lobata is the source of this 4670-nucleotide RNA transcript. It is a transcript of the gene named protein DA1-related 4-like, with no coding region annotated. NCBI's taxonomy places the organism in Eukaryota, Viridiplantae, Streptophyta, Magnoliopsida, Fagales, Fagaceae. The transcript is spliced from 6 exons. The record is from RefSeq and is a predicted model, not a curated record.
GUAUCCAAAGGAUGAUAUACGCUAUUGGAAAAGUGCAUUAGAUAAGUACAAAAGAAUUCUUAAUCCAAAUAUUCUAGAAGUACUCAAAAUAAGCUACAAUGGAUUGGAGGAAAGUCAGCAGCAUAUUUUCCUUGAUAUUUCAUCUUGUCUCAAGGGAUUACACAAGGAUGUUGUCGAGCAUGUACUAGAAAGUUGCAAUUCUUAUGACCCAUAUAUAGAUAUUGAAAUACUUAAAGAUAAGUCUCUCAUAUUUGUUGAUGAAUAUGGCAAAUUAUCGAUGCAUGACUUGAUGCAACAAAUGGGUUUGGAAAUUAUCAAACAAGAAUCAAAAGUAUCAAAGAAACACAAGGUUAUUGUGUUAUGAUGAUGCUUCCGAACUACCAGAUACGGGAUUAGAAGAAGUUGAAGGCAUAACAUUGCGCUUACCACAACCAAGAAACAUGCAAAUAGAUUUUGGAAGGAUGAAAAAACUCAAAUACUUGAUUGUUCGUAAUUUAAUUUGUGAAGAUGUUAAAUAUCUUCCAAAUGAGUUAAGGUUAAUUGAUUGGAAUGAGUUUCCUUUACCUUCCUUGCCAGCCACCGUUAAUCUUCAAAAACUUGUUGCACUUAAAGUGCCAAGAAGCCACAUUAAAUUGGAUGAGCAUUUUGAGAGAUGCCGGCUCCCAGCUUUGAAAUAUAUGGAUUUCAGUGACUGUGAAAACAUUACCAAAUUACCUGACUUAUCGGUGAUUGCCCCAAACAUAAAGAGGCUGGAACUUGACUAUUGUGAAAAUUUAGUUGAGAUUCAUCAGUCUGUUGGACUUCUUGAAGAGCUUGAAUAUUUGUGUCUCGAUGGAUGUGAAAAUCUUAAAACUAUUCCAAGAAUUCUCAAGAUGAAAUCUCUUAAACAUUUUUAUAUCCUGAAGAUUGGGCAAAAUACGGAAAGAUUAGCUCUACCUUCGUCAAUUGGAAAUCUCACUAGCCUUCAAGAUUUAAGCAUCGGUUCUAAAUAUCUUAAUGAUCUUCCAAGCUGCUUAUCUACAUUACCAAAUCUUGAGACCCUCUAUAUGUAUUAUUUUGAAAAUUUUCCAAAGAACCUGGAUAUUCCUGAUUGCUUCCCCAAAUUGGAAUCGUUAUUCGUUGUGGCCAGCAACAUUACUACCCUCCCCGACAUCUCUAGCAAAUUUCCUCAAUUAAAAAAACUUAUUAUUAUCAACUGCUGUAAUCUUCAGAAAAUUCCAAAACUUCCAUCAUGUAUGGAUGAAGUAAAAGUAACAGGAUGCAAUUCGUUGGAUUCACAAUCAAGCAGAAGAUUAUUGAGUCAGUUCGCAGAAAAGGUAGGGCUUCCACAGAAUAUUGUAUGUCCAAGGGGAUCCUCGCACCGGGACUAUGCAUCUGAAACUAACUUUGCUCAUAAAAAGGGGUUUUCAUUUGAAUGUGAUGGAGUAGUGUUAAUUCAAGGAAGUAAGAUUCCAAAAUGGUUCAAUCAUCAAAUUGGUGGAAGUUCCAUAUCUUUCUCGGUCAGUUGGAAACUUCUUCCAUCAUUUGCUUUCUGUGUUGUUAUACAAGUGCAACCGAAGGAUAGCUAUAGGAUUUUUAUAUCAGGUGACUAUGUUAUCAACAUUUUCGUUGAUGGUUAUAAAGGAUUGUACUCACAUACUAUUACCAUAUAUUAUCCAACUCCACCAUCAUCAUCAUCAUCAUCAUCUUAUUCUUAUCUAUGUGUAUUUUAUAUAUGGGAUGGUUCAUUGAAAGGCAUAAUUCUAAAUGAAUGGACUGAAGUUAAGCUUCAAUUUGAAUUUUCAAAUAAUAAUCCAGAAAUAGCCAAAAUUACUGUAGAAAAGUGUGGGGUCCAUGUAGCAUGCACAUGUUCUCCUCAGAACUCCGCUGCAGAUAAGGUGGCCUGCAUAAGAAUUCAUGAAAGAAUAAACAAGAGUUUUGAUGAAAGAUUAAAGAUGUUUUUAUCGAGAGUGGCUGCAGAUGUCCUCCCCUUUAAGCAAAAGCUGGACAGAUUGUCCAAUGCUCAAGAUGGCUAUUAUUGCCCUCUUUGUGAAAUAGCCGAAGAUUCAGUUUUACAUAUAUUUCAAUGUUGUCCCUUCGCCAAAAGAUUGUGGUAUGGUAGUAGAUGGGGUUUUCGAGUCGAAAUGAUCCAAGCUCAAUCUAUAAUGGAAUUCGUUGAACAUAUAAUUGAUCCCCCAAUGGAAUUACUGGCAGAAAGAGUGAACAAAGAUGAAUUCACACUGUAUGCCGCAGUGGCAAUGAAAAUCCUUUGGGAUGCAAGGGAGGAUGCUCUGUUUUCAAACACUAAAGCCAGCAUAGACCAACUAGCCUAUCGUCUUAACAAACAGUAUGACUCAUACGUGAGAUCACUUGAAGGGCAAAACAAGGGAAGGGCUUGGUUCAAGCCACCUGACCGAUGGGUAAAGCUUAAUUUUGAUGGAUCAUAUGACCAAAAGAAUGUAGGCCUGGCUGCGAUUCUCAAAGAUGAACGUGGGAAUGGCAGAGCAAUCAGACGUGGCAUAAACAUGAACGGCAAGAUGGGCAAUGCCAUUGGCCAAACAGGACAGACUUGAGCAAGUUGUGAUAGAGAGUAUAAAGCUUGUUGUCGAGCAUUUCUCUUUGGGUUGCUCUGCUUGAAUUUUGUCAUCAUAUUCUGAGCCAACAGAAAGUGACACAGCUAGCUUCAUCAACUUCAUUGCAAGCCCGGUUGGGAAUGGAAGAACAUAAUGAAGGAAAUUUCAGCUUUAUAUAUGGGGUUCACUAAUUCUGUAGCCCACAGUCUCAUAAGAUGGGGUCUGGGGUCGAAUCACUCUAGUCUGAUUUUGCCUGUAAACUUUCAGAAAAUGGCCAAGAUAGCCUUGACCUCUUAUGCUGCAUGUAGGAUGCUGACUUCAAUACAUAUCUACUUUCGAAGAAAUGAGAACCUCUUGAUUUAACUUCUCAGAAUAUGUCAAGAAACUGGAAUUCACUUGAAGAGCCAACCAAUCAGUUGAUAGGAAGAUGCAAGUCCAAAUGCAAGCACCCCAUUGCCCCCCAAUUCAGCCUCUCAAUACUGGCAAACCGUUUUAGAAACUCCACAUCAACACUUGAUGGACUAUGGUAAACCUUAUAAUUAUUAAAAACAGCUUGUUCUUGAAUAACUCCUUCAAUGUGUUCUCCAGUUGCCUAGCAUUAAAUUCAUUGAAGACUUGACAAAUGAAAAGUUUUAAAAAUGAGUGUUUUCUUCACUUUCUCAUCCACACCAAAGAUAGAUCUUGCCCUAGAUUGUAUCAUAAGUAAGAAUGCUAUGACUCUGGUUACAAAUGGCUUUGAUCAACCCACAGAUGACUUUACCGUGCUGUCAUUGUUGGAUAGCUCAGUGGCCAAGGCUAAAGCUCCCAGUGUAUACUUUAACAGGUUCACCCAUAAUGGCAGCAGUUAGUGGGACUUUACCUGACCAAAAAAAAAACUACUGCAAGAAAGUCAAUGCAAGGGUGCAGCAACAUUCGUAGUUAGAUGAAAUUGAAUGAACAUUUUAAUGUUGUUUCAUACAGACCUUCUCCACCUUAGAACCAUCAGCAGAAAAGUAAAGUCACCAUCCAGGAUGCAUGACAAUGUUUUGGAAAGGUAGUUGUGAGUCAAUUUUUGUCUUAUACUUUCUGUUCAGCUGUGUUUGACUGUUUGUCAUUUACAACGUUCUUUCCCUAUAUGGCAAUUGUGUUAUCAUCCUUAUGAAUUACAAUGAGUACAAGGGAAGUACACAUAAUUUUAAAUGCUUUGAUUUUCUUCUAAUGAAAUCCAUCAGUGUGUAAUAGAUUUUAUUUUUAGGACGUUUUUAUAUUACAAUUGUAGAAACAGACACUUUCUACAUGUGCUAAAGGGCUGUUGCACAUUAUCUAAUAAACAUGGUCACAUAGAAAAUGCCUAUGUGAUUUGAAAUACAUUAAAUGACAAAGAAGAAGAACUAUAUUUCAAGAAUCUAAGAAGUGGGUUUCGAUAAUUUGAUUAUGUACUUUGAAUAACCCAAAAUUAGAGAACUUAAAAGACAAACAUUUUAAUGAGGACACUGGCUACAUAGGUAAACUAUUAACAUUUUAUCCUAAUGUUUUUAUUUGUAUGAAGGAGCUUUAUGCUUUGGAAACAUGCAAACUUGUUUGUAGAGUAGAUAAAUGCUCUUAACAUUUGAGUGGAAGGGCAAAGCCGAGCUUCAAUUUCAAUACAAGUACCUGAUUGCCCCCGCAGUAUUGUCUUAGGCCAUUUAGGUCUGUUCAUAAUUAUUACUUUGUAUGUUACUCUGCUUGGGAUAUUCUUAAAUUCAACUAAAGAAAACUCUAUCAAAGUAUGACUAACCUUCUUUCAAAUCAAACUAAAACUUACUUUGAUAUGUAGGUUAAUAAAACAGUCACUUGAAACAAACCUUGUCAAAGGUGAUUGUCCACAAGUUAGCUUGUAAGUGGCCUGGUUGCAAGAUUCUACUGCCUGGACAGGGCACGUAAAGCUUAGUGGGGGUAAGGGCACCCAAAAUUAAAAGCAAUAACUUAUAAAUUAGCAUGCUUGGUUUACAGAUUCUCAUAAUCACCUUGUCACCAAAUUAAUCAACUUCUUUAUUUCUACAUAGUAAUAUGUUUUAAAACAAUUUGAUGAUACAUUCUUAAAUUACUCUCUUCUUGCUUAGCCGUUGUAUCUAGGUCAAUUUUUUUUUAUGUAUAUUG